This 1317-nucleotide ribosomal RNA is filed under the name human gut metagenome. Its description in RNAcentral is "bacterial LSU rRNA". It matches the Rfam family "Bacterial large subunit ribosomal RNA", at positions 665 to 1984 of the family's 2925-position model. The record is from RNAcentral.
UCCGCAGUGAAAGCGAGCCUGAAUAGGGCGUUGAGUCGGCGGAGGCAGACGCGAAACCAAGUGAUCUACACUUGGCCAGGAUGAAGUCCCGGUAACACGGGAUGGAGGUCCGCACCGAUAAGCGUUGAAAAGCUUCCGGAUGAGCCGAGUGUAGGAGUGAAAGGCCAAUCAAACUUGGAGAUAGCUCGUACUCCCCGAAAUGCAUUUAGGUGCAGCGUGCGGUGUUAGUCAUGAGAGGUAGAGCGACCGAUAGGAUGAGGGGGUUUCACCGCCUGCCAAGUCCUGACGAACUCCGAAUGCUCAUGAGUCGCAGCCGUGCAGUAAGGGGGCGGGUGCUAAGGUCCGUCCCCGAGAGGAGAAGAAUCCAGACCGCCGUCUAAGGCCCCGGAAUUCUGCCUGAGUUAGUCUAACGAAGUGAGGUCCCGAAGACAGCCAGGAUGUUGGCUUGGAAGCAGCCAUUCAUUCAAAGAGUGCGUAACAGCUCACUGGUCGAGGGUCCUUGCGUGGAUAAUAAUCGGGUAUAAGGCAGAUGCCGAAGGCGCGGGAUAGCAAAUAAUAAAAGUAUCGGUAGGGGAGCAUUCCAUAUGCGCAGAAUGUAUGAGGUAACUCAUGCUGGAGCGUAUGGAAAAGCAAAUGUAGGUAUAAGUAACGAUAAGGGGAAUGAGAUUUUCCCCCGCCGCAAGACCGAGGUUUCCCGGGCAAUGUCAAUCAGCCCGGGGUCAGUCGGGUCCUAAGUUUAAGCCGAACGGCGAGAGCGAUGGCAGAUACGGUCAACAUUCCGUAACUGCCGCAGCAGGCGAUGUGGUGACGGAGGCGUGGAACCGCCGCGGACCGACGGAAUGGUCCGUUAAAGGGUGUAGGUGCUGAGGGAUACAGGCAAAUCCGUAUUCCGAGCCGAACCUGAAAGUAUGCCUUCCUCCUCGGAGGCGGGCAAUAGCGCGGGUAAUCAUACUCCCGAGAAAAACCGCUAAGCAACUGUUGCGGCACCCGUACCGCAAACGGACACACGUGGUCGUGUAGAAUAUACUGAGGCGUUGAGAGAUUCAUGGUUAAGGAACUAGGCAAACUGACCCCGUAACUUCGGGAUAAGGGGUCCUCACAUAAGUGAGGCGCAGAGAAUAGGUCCAGGCAACUGUUUAACAAAAACACAGGGCUGUGCAAACUCGAAAGAUGAAGUAUACAGCCUGACACCUGCCCGGUGCCGGAAGGUUAAGAGGAGAAGUCAUCGCAAGAGAAGCUUUGAAUUGAAGCCCCGGUAAACGGCGGCCGUAACUAUAACGGUCCUAAGGUAGCGAAAUUCCUUGUCGGGUAAGUUCC